AUUGAACGCUGGCGGCAGGCUUAACACAUGCAAGUCGAGCGGAGAGAGGUAGCUUGCUACUGAUCUUAGCGGCGGACGGGUGAGUAAUGCUUAGGAAUCUGCCUAUUAGUGGGGGACAACAUUUCGAAAGGAAUGCUAAUACCGCAUACGUCCUACGGGAGAAAGCAGGGGAUCUUCGGACCUUGCGCUAAUAGAUGAGCCUAAGUCGGAUUAGCUAGUUGGUGGGGUAAAGGCCUACCAAGGCGACGAUCUGUAGCGGGUCUGAGAGGAUGAUCCGCCACACUGGGACUGAGACACGGCCCAGACUCCUACGGGAGGCAGCAGUGGGGAAUAUUGGACAAUGGGCGCAAGCCUGAUCCAGCCACGCCGCGUGUGUGAAGAAGGCCUUAUGGUUGUAAAGCACUUUAAGCGAGGAGGAGGCUACUUUAGAUAAUACCUAGAGAUAGUGGACGUUACUCGCAGAAUAAGCACCGGCUAACUCUGUGCCAGCAGCCGCGGUAAUACAGAGGGUGCAAGCGUUAAUCGGAUUUACUGGGCGUAAAGCGCGCGUAGGCGGCUAAUUAAGUCAAAUGUGAAAUCCCCGAGCUUAACUUGGGAAUUGCAUUCGAUACUGGUUAGCUAGAGUGUGGGAGAGGAUGGUAGAAUUCCAGGUGUAGCGGUGAAAUGCGUAGAGAUCUGGAGGAAUACCGAUGGCGAAGGCAGCCAUCUGGCCUAACACUGACGCUGAGGUGCGAAAGCAUGGGGAGCAAACAGGAUUAGAUACCCUGGUAGUCCAUGCCGUAAACGAUGUCUACUAGCCGUUGGGGCCUUUGAGGCUUUAGUGGCGCAGCUAACGCGAUAAGUAGACCGCCUGGGGAGUACGGUCGCAAGACUAAAACUCAAAUGAAUUGACGGGGGCCCGCACAAGCGGUGGAGCAUGUGGUUUAAUUCGAUGCAACGCGAAGAACCUUACCUGGCCUUGACAUAGUAAGAACUUUCCAGAGAUGGAUUGGUGCCUUCGGGAACUUACAUACAGGUGCUGCAUGGCUGUCGUCAGCUCGUGUCGUGAGAUGUUGGGUUAAGUCCCGCAACGAGCGCAACCCUUUUCCUUAUUUGCCAGCGAGUAAUGUCGGGAACUUUAAGGAUACUGCCAGUGACAAACUGGAGGAAGGCGGGGACGACGUCAAGUCAUCAUGGCCCUUACGGCCAGGGCUACACACGUGCUACAAUGGUCGGUACAAAGGGUUGCUACCUAGCGAUAGGAUGCUAAUCUCAAAAAGCCGAUCGUAGUCCGGAUUGGAGUCUGCAACUCGACUCUAUGAAGUCGGAAUCGCUAGUAAUCGCGGAUCAGAAUGCCGCGGUGAAUACGUUCCCGGGCCU
RNAcentral lists this ribosomal RNA (1359 nucleotides) under uncultured bacterium. Its description in RNAcentral is "bacterial SSU rRNA". It matches the Rfam family "Bacterial small subunit ribosomal RNA", at positions 28 to 1381 of the family's 1533-position model. The record is from RNAcentral.